Molecule: ribosomal RNA, 253 nt
Filed under: uncultured bacterium
Lineage: Bacteria
Description: partial 16S ribosomal RNA
Rfam family: Bacterial small subunit ribosomal RNA
Source: RNAcentral
AACGUAGGAGACAAACGUUAUCCGGAGUUACUGGGCGUAAAGGGCGUGUAGGCGGUUAGUUAAGUCUGGCGUGAAAGCUCUCGGCUAAACCGGGAGAGGUCGUUGGAUACUGGCUGACUAGAGGACGGUAGAGGCGUGUGGAAUUCCGGGUGUAGUGGUGAAAUGCGUAGAGAUCCGGAGGAACACCAGUGGCGAAGGCGACACGCUGGGCCGUACCUGACGCUAAAGCGCGACAGCAUGGGGAGCAAACAGG